This 406-nucleotide ribosomal RNA is filed under the name uncultured bacterium. RNAcentral describes it as "partial 16S ribosomal RNA". It matches the Rfam family "Bacterial small subunit ribosomal RNA", at positions 30 to 526 of the family's 1533-position model. The record is from RNAcentral.
AUUGAACGCUGGCGGCAGGACUAACACAUGCAAGUAGAACGAGUGGCGGACGGGUGAGUAAUGUCUGGGAAACGGCCUGAUGGAGGGGGAUAAAUACUGGAAACGGUAGCUAAUACCGCAUACCCUCGGAUGUGCCCAGAUGGGAUGUGCUCGUAUGUGGGGUAAAGGCUCACCUAGGCGACGAUCCCUAGCUGGUCUGGACGGAUGACCAGCCACACUGGAACUGAGACACGGUCCAGACUCCUACGGGAGGCAGCAUGGGGUAAUGUUGCACAAUGGGCGCAAGCCUGAUCCAGCCAUGCCGCGUGUAUGACGAAGUCCUUCGGUUUGUAAAGUACUUUCAGCGGGGCGGCGUUACCCGCAGAAGAAGCACCGGCUAACUCCGUGCCAGCAGCCGCGGUAAUAC